This 713-nucleotide long non-coding RNA is filed under the name Marmota monax (woodchuck). The record is from RNAcentral. Lineage: Eukaryota; Metazoa; Chordata; Mammalia; Rodentia; Sciuridae.
UACUCUGAGUACUGAUCCACAGAGUGGUAGCUAAGUGGUAGCCCUUAUCCACAUGGCUACUGGCUUCUUUCCUUUGUUAAUUCUGUGCCUAUACACUGUGCUCAGUGCUAAGAAUUGGAGAUAAGGGUUGAAUAAGAGAGAUGCAGUUCUAGCUCUGUGAAGCUUUCAGUCUAUCUAAAGUAGCCAUUAUGCAGAGAAUUAUAUGCAAGUGUGAACUGUGCUGUUAAAGUUUAGAGUGAGAAUGUUUAUUCUGUCCAUGGUUCUUCCAGGGAAACUGUGAGCUUUCAAGGUAGCUAUGACCUUUUAGUGUCCAAAUAUGGCUGAACGGUGGUAAAACUGCUUGAGGAACAUGUUAUAGAUGGAAUCUGAUCAAAUAAAGAACCACUGCCCUAGCCAACUUUUGGAUCCCCAAGUUAUCUAGGAGAACUGUCCAGACCUUUGGUGUCCUUUGUAAUAGCCACUAGCCAUAUUUUGCAAUUUAAAUAUAAGUUAGUUAAAAUUUAGUAUCUUGUUUGCAGAAGCUACAUCUGAACUGCUCAUGGCUACCAUCAUUGCAGGAAGUUUUGUUGUGAAGUGUGGUCUGAGUGUAACUUUUUGUUUACCUUUCUGCCAUUUGGAUUUCUUCUGACAGGGGAAUAGAGGAGGAAAACAGAUCCUCCUUUUUUGCUAUUUAUAACCAUUUGGGUCUAUUUAGAAGUUUUAGAGGGCUGGGG